UUUACGGAGAGUUUGAUCCUGGCUCAGGACGAACGCUGGCGGCGUGCUUAACACAUGCAAGUCGAACGCUGAAGCCAGAGCUUGCUCUGGUGGAUGAGUGGCGAACGGGUGAGUAACACGUGAGUAACCUGCCCCUGACUCUGGGAUAAGCGCUGGAAACGGCGUCUAAUACCGGAUAUGAGCAAUCACCGCAUGGUGUGUUGCUGGAAAGAUUUAUCGGUUGGGGAUGGACUCGCGGCCUAUCAGCUAGUUGGUGAGGUAAUGGCUCACCAAGGCGACGACGGGUAGCCGGCCUGAGAGGGUGACCGGCCACACUGGGACUGAGACACGGCCCAGACUCCUACGGGAGGCAGCAGUGGGGAAUAUUGCACAAUGGGCGCAAGCCUGAUGCAGCAACGCCGCGUGAGGGAUGACGGCCUUCGGGUUGUAAACCUCUUUUAGUAGGGAAGAAGCGCAAGUGACGGUACCUGCAGAAAAAGCACCGGCUAACUACGUGCCAGCAGCCGCGGUAAUACGUAGGGUGCAAGCGUUGUCCGGAAUUAUUGGGCGUAAAGAGCUCGUAGGCGGCUUGUCGCGUCUGCUGUGAAAACCCGAGGCUCAACCUCGGGCUUGCAGUGGGUACGGGCAGGCUAGAGUGUGGUAGGGGAGAUUGGAAUUCCUGGUGUAGCGGUGGAAUGCGCAGAUAUCAGGAGGAACACCGAUGGCGAAGGCAGAUCUCUGGGCCACUACUGACGCUGAGGAGCGAAAGCAUGGGGAGCGAACAGGAUUAGAUACCCUGGUAGUCCAUGCCGUAAACGUUGGGAACUAGAUGUAGGGACCUUUCCAGGGUUUCUGUGUCGUAGCUAACGCAUUAAGUUCCCCGCCUGGGGAGUACGGCCGCAAGGCUAAAACUCAAAGGAAUUGACGGGGGCCCGCACAAGCGGCGGAGCAUGCGGAUUAAUUCGAUGCAACGCGAAGAACCUUACCAAGGCUUGACAUAUACGAGAACGGGCGAGAGAUCGUCAACUCUUUGGACACUCGUAAACAGGUGGUGCAUGGUUGUCGUCAGCUCGUGUCGUGAGAUGUUCGGUUAAGUCCGGCAACGAGCGCAACCCUCGUCCUAUGUUGCCAGCACGUAAUGGUGGGAACUCAUGGGAUACUGCCGUGGUCAACACGGAGGAAGGUGGGGAUGACGUCAAAUCAUCAUGCCCCUUAUGUCUUGGGCUUCACGCAUGCUACAAUGGCCGGUACAAAGGGCUGCAAUACCGCGAGGUGGAGCGAAUCCCAAAAAGCCGGUCUCAGUUCGGAUUGGGGUCUGCAACUCGACCCCAUGAAGUCGGAGUCGCUAGUAAUCGCAGAUCAGCAACGCUGCGGUGAAUACGUUCCCGGGCCUUGUACACACCGCCCGUCAAGUCAUGAAAGUCGGUAACACCCGAAGCCGAUGGCCUAACCACUUGUGGAGGGAGUCGUCGAAGGUGGGACUGGUGAUUAGGACUAAGUCGUAACAAGGUAGCCGUACCGGAAGGUGCGGCUGGAUCACCUCCUUUCUA
This 1529-nucleotide ribosomal RNA is filed under the name Leucobacter sp. cx-87. Its description in RNAcentral is "bacterial SSU rRNA". It matches the Rfam family "Bacterial small subunit ribosomal RNA". The record is from RNAcentral. Lineage: Bacteria; Bacillati; Actinomycetota; Actinomycetes; Micrococcales; Microbacteriaceae.